This 1465-nucleotide ribosomal RNA is filed under the name Escherichia coli. RNAcentral's name for it is "partial 23S ribosomal RNA". It matches the Rfam family "Bacterial large subunit ribosomal RNA", at positions 1503 to 2925 of the family's 2925-position model. The record is from RNAcentral. Lineage: Bacteria; Pseudomonadati; Pseudomonadota; Gammaproteobacteria; Enterobacterales; Enterobacteriaceae.
UGUCCCGGUUUAAGCGUGUAGGCUGGUUUUCCAGGCAAAUCCGGAAAAUCAAGGCUGAGGCGUGAUGACGAGGCACUACGGUGCUGAAGCAACAAAUGCCCUGCUUCCAGGAAAAGCCUCUAAGCAUCAGGUAACAUCAAAUCGUACCCCAAACCGACACAGGUGGUCAGGUAGAGAAUACCAAGGCGCUUGAGAGAACUCGGGUGAAGGAACUAGGCAAAAUGGUGCCGUAACUUCGGGAGAAGGCACGCUGAUAUGUAGGUGAAGUCCCUCGCGGAUGGAGCUGAAAUCAGUCGAAGAUACCAGCUGGCUGCAACUGUUUAUUAAAAACACAGCACUGUGCAAACACGAAAGUGGACGUAUACGGUGUGACGCCUGCCCGGUGCCGGAAGGUUAAUUGAUGGGGUCAGCGCAAGCGAAGCUCUUGAUCGAAGCCCCGGUAAACGGCGGCCGUAACUAUAACGGUCCUAAGGUAGCGAAAUUCCUUGUCGGGUAAGUUCCGACCUGCACGAAUGGCGUAAUGAUGGCCAGGCUGUCUCCACCCGAGACUCAGUGAAAUUGAACUCGCUGUGAAGAUGCAGUGUACCCGCGGCAAGACGGAAAGACCCCGUGAACCUUUACUAUAGCUUGACACUGAACAUUGAGCCUUGAUGUGUAGGAUAGGUGGGAGGCUUUGAAGUGUGGACGCCAGUCUGCAUGGAGCCGACCUUGAAAUACCACCCUUUAAUGUUUGAUGUUCUAACGUGGACCCGUGAUCCGGGUUGCGGACAGUGUCUGGUGGGUAGUUUGACUGGGGCGGUCUCCUCCUAAAGAGUAACGGAGGAGCACGAAGGUUGGCUAAUCCUGGUCGGACAUCAGGAGGUUAGUGCAAUGGCAUAAGCCAGCUUGACUGCGAGCGUGACGGCGCGAGCAGGUGCGAAAGCAGGUCAUAGUGAUCCGGUGGUUCUGAAUGGAAGGGCCAUCGCUCAACGGAUAAAAGGUACUCCGGGGAUAACAGGCUGAUACCGCCCAAGAGUUCAUAUCGACGGCGGUGUUUGGCACCUCGAUGUCGGCUCAUCACAUCCUGGGGCUGAAGUAGGUCCCAAGGGUAUGGCUGUUCGCCAUUUAAAGUGGUACGCGAGCUGGGUUUAGAACGUCGUGAGACAGUUCGGUCCCUAUCUGCCGUGGGCGCUGGAGAACUGAGGGGGGCUGCUCCUAGUACGAGAGGACCGGAGUGGACGCAUCACUGGUGUUCGGGUUGUCAUGCCAAUGGCACUGCCCGGUAGCUAAAUGCGGAAGAGAUAAGUGCUGAAAGCAUCUAAGCACGAAACUUGCCCCGAGAUGAGUUCUCCCUGACCCUUUAAGGGUCCUGAAGGAACGUUGAAGACGACGACGUUGAUAGGCCGGGUGUGUAAGCGCAGCGAUGCGUUGAGCUAACCGGUACUAAUGAACCGUGAGGCUUAACCUUACAACGCCGAAGGUGUUU